GGCCGCGCGACUAUAUCCUGGAUUAUAAAUAGACGAGUCCUCCGCUGCUUCGGGGUCUUUUUCUAGUGCGCAGCCUCUGUAGCUGGAUCCAUCUCUCCUGCGCCGCUGAGUUGAGCUAUAGACUCUUGACAGGUGCGGAAUGGGAGUGCACUGUCAAAGGAGCAGCGGGCUGAGCCUAUGAGAACGGGGCUGUCACGAAGACGUGGCUCAGGUGUAUGGCUGAAGCGAGCAGUGAGCCCGUGAAGAGACAGCGCAGCAGUCCUAGCGUGUUCCUGGUGUCAGGGAGAGCUGGCCAUCCUCUCAGCGGAAAGACUCACCAGCGCCAGCUGUUUCCCCUUCAGCAGAACAUCGGGGAGAGCAGUGAAACUGCCACCACUAGUUGACGAAUCCUAUGAUUGAAGGUCAGCCAAUGAAGUGCUGUGGGCGUGGCUACACCGGAAAACAUCGCGCAAUUGGCUGGAGCUGAUUGAGAAGUCAUCAGAGCUGUUUCCCUUCCGCCACACCUUAAUUUGGAAAUAAUGGAUCCACGGUAUAUAAACCUGAGCCCUGAACCGAAGGAAGAACACUGUCAGAGACCCUGAUACCUCUUGUGUCAGACACCUGCCAAGAUGAACAAGUUGGAGCUGUUUGAAGAAAGAGACUUCAAUGAGACCUCCAUCUCUCUGACUAAUGAUGUCGCUGACCUGUCACAACGCGGCUUCCAUAAUAAAGCCUCCUCAAUGUGCAUCACCGGGGAUGCCUGGGUCAUCUAUACAGACAAAAACUACAGCGGAGGCUUUGAAGUCUACAAGGAAGGACAGUACAGCUCCAUCCCUGACCUUGCCAACAAGAUCUCUUCUGUGAGGAUCAUUAAAAGUGGUCUGUAUAAUCCCCAGAUCACUGUGUAUGAGCACCCUGGCUAUCAAGGCAAGAUGGCGACCAUAACAGAGAAAACACGUUCACUGAAGUAUUAUGAUAUGGAUAAUGUGAUCUCAGCUCACGAAGUGCAGUCAGGAUGCUGGGUCCUGUAUGAGCAGGAAAAUUACCAGAGAAAAAGGAUGAUCGCACUGGCAGGAGAUGCCAUAGAUAACUAUUGUGUCUUAGGUUGGAAUAAUCUGGUGAGGUCUCUGAAACCUGCUGUGCCCUAUACUACACGUGUCUGACAUACAAGAGACCCCAAAUCGCUGCACAAGCUGGCCAAGAAAGCUCAGAGGAGAUAUCAAUGACCGCACAAUCAUCUGCACCUGGCUGACUCCUACCUUUUAUCACACUCCCUCAAUGAAAACCUGUUCCCACUACCAUGUGACCACAGACACACCUGUCCAGGAGCCUCAGCGAUUCCCACACACCUGUGACAGAUACACCUGUACAGGAGCCUCAGUGGUUCCCCACACACCUGUGACAUAUACACCUGUACAGUAUCCUCAGUGUUUCCCCACACACCUGUGACAGAUACACCUGUACAGGAGACUCAGUGGUUCCCCACACACCUGUGACAGAUACACCUGUACAGGAGCCUCAGUGAUUCCCCACACACCUGUGACAGAUACACCUGUACAGGAGCCUCAGUGGUUCCCCACACACCUGUGACAGAUACACCUGUACAGGAGCCUCAGUGGUACCCCACACACCUGUGACAUAUAUACCUGUACAGGAGCCUCAGUGGUUCCCCACACACCUGUGACAUAUAUACCUGUACAGGAGCCUCAGUGGUUCCCCACUCACCUGUGACAGAUACACCUGUAGAGGAGCCUCAGUGGUUCCCCACACACCUGUGACAGAUACACCUGUACAGGAGCCUCAGUGGUACCCCACACACCUGUGACAUAUAUACCUGUACAGGAGCCUCAGUGGUUCCCCACUCACCUGUGACAGAUACACCUGUACAGGAGCCUCAGUGGUUCCCCACACACCUGUGGCAGAUACACCUGUACAGGAUCCUCAGUGGUUCCCCACACACCUGUUGCAGAUACACCUGUACAGGAUCCUCAGUGGUUCCCCACACACCUGUGACAGAUACACCUGUACAGGAGCCUCAGUGGUACCCCACACACCUGUGACAUAUAUACCUGUACAGGAGCCUCAGUGGUUCCCCACACACCUGUGACAUAUAUACCUGUACAGGAGCCUCAGUGGUUCCCCACUCACCUGUGACAGAUACACCUGUACAGGAGCCUCAGUGGUUCCCCACACACCUGUGGCAGAUACACCUGUACAGGAUCCUCAGUGGUUCCCCACACACCUGUUGCAGAUACACCUGUACAGGAUCCUCAGUGGUUCCCCACACACCUGUGACAGAUACACCUGUACAGGAGCCUCAGUGGUUCCCCACACACCUGUGACAGAUACACCUGUACAGGAGACUCAGUGGUUCCCCAUACACCUGUGACAGAUAUACCUGUACAGAAGCCUCAGUGGUUCCCCACACACCUGUGACAGAUACACCUGUACAGAAGCCUCAGUGCUUCCCCACACACCUGUGACAGAUACACCUGUACAGGAGCCUCAGUGCUUCCCCACACACCUGUGACAGAUACACCUGUACAGGAGACUCAGUGGUUCCCCACACACCUGUGACAGAUACACCUGUACAGGAGCCUCAGAGCUUCCCCACUAACCUGUGACAGAUACACCUGGAUAGGAGCCUCAGCGAUUCCCCACACACCUGUGACAGAUACACCUGGACAGGAGCCUCAGUGGUUCCCCACACACUUGUGUCCUGUUUCCCUUGUCUGAGAGAGGCUGCCUCAGACUGGGACACAUCGUGCGUGGCACCCCAACUCAGAUGGACGAGACCAGGAGCAGUGAGAACAGUGACUUUAUAUUAUCAGAGGUGCUGCUGGUGAGGAACCUCCGGGUGGUGCUGGAGAAGUCUCUGACCCCUUGUACUGCCCCCACCAUCACCACUAAUCUGCUAUUCUAUUACCUGUGAUAUGAUGACAUUGUUACACCUGUGCUUAUGCUGCUGCAGUAGUAAUAAACCCCUCUGAGUGCA
Molecule: long non-coding RNA, 2974 nt
Organism: Pseudophryne corroboree (corroboree frog)
Lineage: Eukaryota; Metazoa; Chordata; Amphibia; Anura; Myobatrachidae
Exons: 2
Source: RefSeq, a predicted model, not a curated record